UAGCUUUGAAGGGCUGAUGCCAGCGUCCCACUACUUAUCAAAAAUUCUUCUAAUUUUCUAUAAGAUGUAUUCAAAUUGAGAUAAACAAUUAUAUUGUUAAAAGAUGAUAAGCUUUUUCCAUUAAUCACCUGUUGAUCAAGGUCAAGAGCCGAUGCGUAAAAGCUCCGAGAAUAACUCUCACGUUUUCUAUGCUGCAUAUAUAGAAGUGUUGUACAAGGCAAAGUCCUUAUAGUUUAAGAUCGGCAGGUAAGAAAAACCGGUCAUAAAAAGUGGUACGUUUAUGGAUAAUUUUAAAUAGUUAUAUCAAGUAUUGGUAUAAUAGUAUUGUAUAUAUAAGUGCAUUCUUAACUUUCAUUCUGUUUAGUUUAAUUUCUGAUUACGAG
This 383-nucleotide long non-coding RNA is filed under the name Brassica napus (rape). RNAcentral describes it as "long non-coding RNA (BNAP_LNC022668)". The record is from RNAcentral. Lineage: Eukaryota; Viridiplantae; Streptophyta; Magnoliopsida; Brassicales; Brassicaceae.